AGCUUCAUGAUGUGCUUGACUCCAUAUUUAUGCUGCUGGAGGACAAUAUUGUCACUUUUGUGAAGAAAGAACUGAAGAAGAUCCAGAAAGAUCUGAGUCCAGAUUACCCAGAAAAUUCAGAGAGUCAGAGAGAUGACGAUGUGUUGGAAGCUGAUGAUGAAGAACAGAGGAGGAGCAGCAGAGAGGCAGUGAUGAAGAUCACACUGAACUUCCUGAGGAGGAUGAAGCAGGAAAAGCUGUCUGACCGUCUGCA
This is a long non-coding RNA of Xiphophorus hellerii (green swordtail), 253 nucleotides long. RefSeq lists it as uncharacterized. Lineage: Eukaryota; Metazoa; Chordata; Actinopteri; Cyprinodontiformes; Poeciliidae. The transcript is spliced from 4 exons. The record is from RefSeq and is a predicted model, not a curated record.